RNAcentral lists this transfer RNA (74 nucleotides) under Tenacibaculum skagerrakense. RNAcentral's name for it is "tRNA-Leu". It matches the Rfam family "tRNA". Rfam says of the family: Transfer RNA (tRNA) molecules are approximately 80 nucleotides in length. Their secondary structure includes four short double-helical elements and three loops (D, anti-codon, and T loops). Further hydrogen bonds mediate the characteristic L-shaped molecular structure. tRNAs have two regions of fundamental functional importance: the anti-codon, which is responsible for specific mRNA codon recognition, and the 3' end, to which the tRNAs corresponding amino acid is attached (by aminoacyl-tRNA synthetases). tRNAs cope with the degeneracy of the genetic code in two manners: having more than one tRNA (with a specific anti-codon) for a particular amino acid; and 'wobble' base-pairing, i.e. permitting non-standard base-pairing at the 3rd anti-codon position. Lineage: Bacteria; Pseudomonadati; Bacteroidota; Flavobacteriia; Flavobacteriales; Flavobacteriaceae. The record is from RNAcentral.
GCAGGAAUGGCGGAAAAGGCAUACGCGUCUGAUUUAGAAUCAGAAUAUUGAGAGUUCGAAUCUCUCUUCCUGUA